This 82-nucleotide transfer RNA is filed under the name Echinostoma caproni. It matches the Rfam family "tRNA". From Rfam's summary of the family: Transfer RNA (tRNA) molecules are approximately 80 nucleotides in length. Their secondary structure includes four short double-helical elements and three loops (D, anti-codon, and T loops). Lineage: Eukaryota; Metazoa; Platyhelminthes; Trematoda; Plagiorchiida; Echinostomatidae. The record is from Rfam by way of RNAcentral.
UGUCUUGUAGCUCAGCUGGUAGAGCGUGCGCGUGCAAAGUGUAGGCGGCGUUCAUGCUUGGGUUAGAAUCCCACCGAAGCUA